This is a long non-coding RNA of Monomorium pharaonis (pharaoh ant), 301 nucleotides long. RefSeq lists it as uncharacterized. The record is from RefSeq and is a predicted model, not a curated record. Lineage: Eukaryota; Metazoa; Arthropoda; Insecta; Hymenoptera; Formicidae. The transcript is spliced from 2 exons.
UAAAACUAAUUUUAUAUUACAGGAUUCUGCUAAUUAUUCUUACAUCAUUCGGACAACUGUUCUUCUUAAAAUUUAAAAGAACGUAAAGAAUAACUGAAGUUUAUAAAAGCUGAAGAAAUUUUCACAAGGAUUAGAACAGAAAACUGAACUCAAAUGGAAGCGCUUGCACUCUCAUGUCACUAUCAUGUCCUGACAAUUUCGGAUUUUAUAAAACUAUAGGAGAUGUUGUGAUUGACAUUGAGAUUGUGAUUGACAUCUGGAGCAGAGCUAUAAUUUUGUUUAACAUUACGUGAAGUUUAUU